AGAGUUUGAUUCUGGCUCAGGAUUAACGCUAGCGGCAGGCCUAAUACAUGCAAGUCGAACGGGAUUCAAGGUAGCAAUAUUUUGAUGAGAGUGGCGCACGGGUGAGUAACACGUAUGCAAUUUGCCUUUAACUGGGGAAUAGCCCUCCGAAAGGAGGAUUAAUACCGCAUAACAUUUCAGAAUGGCAUCAUUUUGGAAUUAAACCUCCGGGGGUUAAAGAUAAGCAUGCAUCCGAUUAGGUAGUUGGUGUGGUAACGGCACACCAAGCCAACGAUCGGUAGGGGGUCUGAGAGGAUGAUCCCCCACACUGGUACUGAGACACGGACCAGACUCCUACGGGAGGCAGCAGUAAGGAAUAUUGGACAAUGGAGGCAACUCUGAUCCAGCCAUGCCGCGUGAAGGAAUAAGGCCCUAUGGGUUGUAAACUUCUUUUAGACGGGACAAAACCCCUUUACGUGUAAAGGGUUGAUGGUACUGUCAGAAUAAGCAUCGGCUAACUUCGUGCCAGCAGCCGCGGUAAUACGAAGGAUGCAAGCGUUAUCCGGAAUUAUUGGGUUUAAAGGGUGCGUAGGCGGACUGAUAAGUCAGUGGUGAAAGCCUGCAGCUUAACUGCAGAAUUGCCGUUGAUACUGUCAGUCUUGAGUACAGUUGAGGUAGGCGGAAUGUGUCAUGUAGCGGUGAAAUGCUUAGAUAUGACACAGAACACCGAUUGCGAAGGCAGCUUGCUAAGCUGUAACUGACGCUGAGGCACGAAAGCGUGGGGAGCAAACAGGAUUAGAUACCCUGGUAGUCCACGCCCUAAACGAUGAUAACUCGCUGUUGGCGAUACACAGCCAGCGGCCAAGCGAAAGCAUUAAGUUAUCCACCUGGGGAGUACGACCGCAAGGUUGAAACUCAAAGGAAUGACGG
RNAcentral lists this ribosomal RNA (909 nucleotides) under uncultured bacterium. RNAcentral describes it as "bacterial SSU rRNA". It matches the Rfam family "Bacterial small subunit ribosomal RNA", at positions 8 to 916 of the family's 1533-position model. The record is from RNAcentral.